Ceratotherium simum simum (southern white rhinoceros) is the source of this 290-nucleotide non-coding RNA. Lineage: Eukaryota; Metazoa; Chordata; Mammalia; Perissodactyla; Rhinocerotidae. The record is from RefSeq and is a predicted model, not a curated record.
GGGCGCCAGGGCCGCUCCGGGGCAGCGGGGAUGCUAAAGGACUUGUAGUAACUCAAGAACUGAAAGAUAUUUUUAAGGCAAAGAUAACUCCUCCAACACUCAAAGGCAGCAAAGAUCACAGACAAGGUAGAAACAGCAUGUACACCACAGAGUCAAAAAAUGAACAUUUGGAGGAUAAAAAUGUCGAAUCAUCUACAACUCCUCAGAUCCUCAAAGAUAGUAAUGCUAGUGAACAUGAAGAAACUAAGGAAACUGUCUUUCCAAAAACAGAGGAAACAAAACCACAGAUG